RNAcentral lists this ribosomal RNA (433 nucleotides) under uncultured bacterium. RNAcentral's name for it is "partial 16S ribosomal RNA". It matches the Rfam family "Bacterial small subunit ribosomal RNA", at positions 29 to 507 of the family's 1533-position model. The record is from RNAcentral.
AACGAACGCUGGCGGCAUGCCUAACACAUGCAAGUCGAACGAGACCUUCGGGUCUAGUGGCGCACGGGUGCGUAACGCGUGGGAACCUGCCUUUAGGUUCGGAAUAACUCAGAGAAAUUUGAGCUAAUACCGGAUGAUGUCUUCAGACCAAAGAUUUAUCGCCUUUAGAUGGGCCCGCGUUGGAUUAGCUAGUUGGUGGGGUAAAGGCCUACCAAGGCGACGAUCCAUAGCUGGUCUGAGAGGAUGAUCAGCCACACUGGGACUGAGACACGGCCCAGACUCCUACGGGAGGCAGCAGUGGGGAAUAUUGGACAAUGGGCGAAAGCCUGAUCCAGCAAUGCCGCGUGAGUGAUGAAGGCCUUAGGGUUGUAAAGCUCUUUUACCCGAGAUGAUAAUGACAGUAUCGGGAGAAUAAGCUCCGGCUAACUCCGUG